Molecule: ribosomal RNA, 253 nt
Filed under: uncultured bacterium
Lineage: Bacteria
Description: partial 16S ribosomal RNA
Rfam family: Bacterial small subunit ribosomal RNA
Source: RNAcentral
UACGGGGGGGGCAAGCGUUGUUCGGAAUUACUGGGCGUAAAGGGCGCGUAGGCGGCCUGUUAAGUCGAACGUGAAAUCCCUGGGCUCAACCCAGGAACUGCGUCCGAUACUGGCAGGCUUGAAUUCGGGAGAGGGAUGCGGAAUUCCAGGUGUAGCGGUGAAAUGCGUAGAUAUCUGGAGGAACACCGGUGGCGAAGGCGGCAUCCUGGACCGAUAUUGACGCUGAGGCGCGAAAGCCAGGGGAGCAAACGGG